This 392-nucleotide ribosomal RNA is filed under the name uncultured bacterium. RNAcentral's name for it is "bacterial SSU rRNA". It matches the Rfam family "Bacterial small subunit ribosomal RNA", at positions 29 to 411 of the family's 1533-position model. The record is from RNAcentral.
AACGAACGCUGGCGGCGCGCCUAAUACAUGCAAGUCGAGCGAGAAGACGUAGCAAUACGUUUGUAAAGCGGCGAACGGGUGAGGAAUACAUGGGUAACCUACCCUCGAGUGGGGAAUAACUAGCCGAAAGGUUAGCUAAUACCGCGUACGCUCCUUGGACUUCGGUUCAGGGAGGAAAGCGAUACCGUGGGUAUCGCGCUCUUGGAUGGGCUCAUGUCCUAUCAGCUUGUCGGNGAGGUAACGGCUCACCAAGGCUUCGACGGGUAGCUGGUCUGAGAGGACGAUCAGCCACACUGGCACUGCGACACGGGCCAGACUCCUACGGGAGGCAGCAGUAAGGAAUAUUGCGCAAUGGGCGAAAGCCUGACGCAGCGACGCCGCGGUGGGGGAGU